AGGGUGGGGGCACCGGCCUUCCCUCCAAGCAGCGUCGGGGGCCAAGCCCCAAGACGGAGUUGGGGGGCCCCCAAGGCUCCCUAGGGCGGGCUUCUCUCUCUGGACCCUUCGGCCCCGGGCCUCAGGGAGGUCCUCCGAGCCGUGACCGGAGACAUCUGGGCGGUGGGAGGGGGCGGGGCCUCCGCGCUCCAGGGAAGGGGGCAGGAAAAAUCUUUCUCAAGCCUCUCCAGGCUCGGGGUCGGGAAUGAGCGAGGGUCCGGCAGAUUUGGGGCUCCGAGGCCACAGAUGGGGCCCAUGAGUGAGGAGGACAAGAGAGAAAGGAGAAGUUUGGGUGUAAAUCCCAGAGAUUGUUCAUCAUGUGAGAGGAGCCGUGCAUGCAUUUCAUGCCAUACUCACACCAUGGAUGGAGAAAAAAAAUCAAGCUUCACUUUCUGAGAAUGGCCCUGGGGGCACUGCAUCUAGUGCCUGUGCAUCUGCAGACCUGCCGGAUGCCUCCAGGGGAAUCAUGCCACCCCAAGCAAGAAAGGGCCCAGUUGCCAGGAGCCUGGAGGCAGAGAGCUGAGGAGCCAGCCCCUGACAUCAGAAUGGAGCUCAAAGGUUGGCUGGGUGUGACUCUGCCGUGGACAGCUUCUCUUGGGAAAUCUACUUUAAUGAAUCCAGGGGACCAAUUUGUAAUCAGCCCAUCAGAUGUUCAGCGACACUUAGCUGGAAUCUCGUUGCUGGACUCUGUGCCCCGCAGUGGAUGACAGUUCUCCAUCAGGGUCUGCAGUCCUCUACCCUGGACUUGCUGCAUCCUGGAGCCCCCAGCAGUCAGGUACCGGCUCUCAGAACUGCCUGCAUCCCAUUGGCCUGAGCUGCUGUCUGCCAGGGCUGCUGGUAACCAGGCCCACAGGGUUGGAUAUUCCCCCAACAGGGCAGCUCCCAGUCCAAGCCCAACUGUUACCAGCCCAGAAAGAUGUUUCAGGAUACCCCUUUCCUCCCCACUUCCCUGCCCUCUGCAGCUCCAGCUGGUGCACCCCAUCUUUCUCUCCCCCUCCCUGCUAGGCUGGGCCCUAACAGGAGACCUUUGAGGUGGUUGGGCUUGUUCUGCAACCUUGAGUACCCUUGAGCUACUGCCUCACUCCUCAGUUUUCUUCUUCUUAAGGUUUCUAAUUGGACUUUGCCAGUGUAUUUAUUUCAAAACUGGUCAUCUUACUGACCUCGCUCAUAGUCUCUUAUUACUUUUCUAGUUGAUUCUCUUGAGUUUUCUGGAUAAACAAUAAUAUCAUGUACAAAUAAUGAUGACA
RNAcentral lists this long non-coding RNA (1286 nucleotides) under Homo sapiens (human). RNAcentral's name for it is "non-protein coding INSYN1-AS1:19". Lineage: Eukaryota; Metazoa; Chordata; Mammalia; Primates; Hominidae. The record is from RNAcentral.